Molecule: long non-coding RNA, 3628 nt
Filed under: Daucus carota (carrot)
Lineage: Eukaryota; Viridiplantae; Streptophyta; Magnoliopsida; Apiales; Apiaceae
Description: long non-coding RNA (DCAR_LNC004639)
Source: RNAcentral
GUAAUAAUUGCAAUGGGACCCGCAGACCAAUAAUUGAGUUAAAAAGCCCCGUUUUGAUGAUUAUCUCGAAAACCAGUACCGAUUGGACUCCGCUUUAUUAAUAUAAAGCUAUUAAAUACGUAUUUUCAUGUCAUAUACGAUCCAAAGGGGUACCAAUUAUUUGUAAAUAUAAAUAGACCUUUCUAGAGCUUAUUUUCACCCGGAAAAUCAUUUCACCAGUUUCUUUCCACGAAUACCGAGAGAAAUCGAGUGGUGUUCUUCGUGUUCUUCAUAAUCAAACGAAGAUUUGAAGGUGUUAUUGGAGUCAGAAUCAAGCGUGCAAAUAGUCAAAUCGAAGAUAUCGAAGAGUAGAACCCAAAUCAAUCAUCAAAAACAACAUGAGAUUCACAGGUAGGGAGUAAUUGAAGUUUUAAAAUUCGAAUUAUUAUAAUUUUAAAGAUGAAUUUUUGUAAACGAUCUUGUUUGAUUGUUUUGAUGCUUCUAUGUUGUAGAGCGUGUUUUUCUCGUCAUUUUGAUAUAUUAUAUGUUGAAUUUGGGCUUCGGAAUCAUAUAGAAACAGUGGUUUAAUUCUUGAGUAGGUGUUCUUGAGUGUUCUUCGUGGGUUAUGAAUAUUUUCAAUUGAGAUUUGGGCGUUUCUUAUCUGUUAAUCACAUGAGCAAUCGGUUGAUAUGGUUGGAUAGAGCGUGAAGAGAGGAACUUGUGGGUAUGUUCAAAAGUUAUGUGGGAUUCCCGGAAAGGGGUCACCGGAGUUUCGAAAGAAACUCGCCGGCGGGUUUUUGCUUCGAUUUUCCGGCGACGAUUGGUGAUUCUGAUCAAGUGUGUAGGUUCCUGGUGAUCGGUAGUCGAGUUAUGCGUAGUUUGGUGGCCGCCCGAGGCCUGUUUAGCCGAUUCCGGCGAGUCAGGGGUGCCAACGGCGACAACGUGCCGUUUGGUCACCCAACUUAUGAAGAUGAUGAAGUCAUUGUACUCGAGUUUUGAAAAUUACAAAUUACCCCCUGGAACUUUUGGAAAGUUACACUUUAAACCCUGGACAAAAACUUUCAAAAGUUUACAAAAUAAACCUUUUGAUUUAAUUUUCUAAAAUUGUUUUAUUUAAUUAUUUUAAAUUCCAAAAAUAAUUUUUAAUUAUUUCUUUAUUCAAAAAUAAAUCUAAAUUAGUUUAUUAAUUAAUUUUAAUUAGUAAUUAAUUAUUUUAAUUGGUCAAUUAAUUUAAAUAUUAAUUGAUUAAUUAUUUUAAUUAAUUAUUAAUUGAUUUUAAUUGAUUAAUUAAUUGGAUUUAAUUUAUCCUUUUUGAUUUAAAAAUUCCGAAAAAUAGUUUCGAGCUUUGAAAUAUUUUUCUAAAUUAUUUUCAAGGCUCGAUAAUUGUUUAUGAAUGAUUUCAAGUGCAAUUUCAAGUAUUUGGGACUUGAUUAUUUAUUCAAAAAAAGUGAUUCUUUUAUCGAUUUUAAUUCCGAAAAAUGUUUAAAAAUUCUGGAAAAUUCCCGAAAAAUCAUUUUUAACCCUAAGACUUGAUUUAAGAUCAAUUGGGAUGGGAAACCUUAUGUGUUGUGUGUUGUCUGCUAUUGGUUGGAUGUGUUAUGUGCCGAUAGGAGAGUGAGAAAACUGUUUUGAGCAUAACUUUUGAUCUGUAAGUCGGAAUCAAGUGAAACGAAAGAGAGAUAGAAGCUCGUGAAGUCUAUUUUAAUAUGACAAGAUAAUAUGAUUGAAUCUAGAAUGUGAUUAUAUGCUAUGUAAUAUGCAAUAUGUAACCAUACGUGAUUUGUUUGUUAUGAAUUGAUGAUUACGUGAUAUAUGUGGUUAUUCCUAAUAUAGUACAUAUGUGAUAAAUGACUUAUAUGACAUAGUGCCAUGAUUUGAUAAGAACAUAUGGAUUAUAGGAAUUGGAAUUGGUUGGUUGGUUGUUGGUUGGGAAUAGGUUGACAGGUGGAUAAUCUUAUAACUAGACAAGAUGCUGGCAGAUUUUCGAUAUGAUUUAUAUGAUUAUUGAUUAUAACAUGUUAUGUAGAAUAUGACUUGACUAUAUGAUAAAGUCAAAGAAUGAUUAUGUGCUAAGUGAUAUGUGAUAAGUUUAAAGGGGUAUAUAAGUGGGUAUCGAUAUGCGUGAUAUGUAUAUGCGAUCGAUUGUUUAGUGAUUAUAGUGUUAUCUUAUUCUCGUAAAGGAUUUGGACGAGAAGUGUAUGCCCGAAGACGUUCAGAAAGUCACGUGGUGUUACAAAGCGAAUAAGGGAUGAAUCGAGUAAGCGAAGCGAAGAUGUACGGUAGAUAGAGUAUAGCCAGAGAUGGUCUAGAGACUAUGAGAUGCAUAGAUUGUGAAAGUGGAAAGAUGAGAUUGAGAUGUGAGACUGGAGUCAGAUUUAAGGCAAGUAUCCUAAACCUUUCUCUUGGAUAUAUUGCAAAUAUUCUGAUCCAUUCCUUUGGUAUAUGUUUCAAGUAUUCAUACCUUUCUUUUCAAUGUUCGAAAGUGCGAGUAUUCUGACCCAUUCUUUCUAAUCUUCAAGUUUCUAAAGAAUUUCCGUUUUACAAAUUAAUUCGAAGUUCAGAUUGUCAUUGAAGCAUGUGUUGCUCAGUGAUAGUUAGAGCUUUGAAUGAAUUGGGAUCUUCUUGAUUAUUCAACCCGCCAUUGUCAUGCUGGUUUAGCAGGCUAAAUUCAGUUGCUUAGCCGAUAAUGGAGGAUACUGAAUAGUUGAGGAUUUCCUGAACUGUGAUUUAUGAAAUGAUGGAUCAUGAUUUAUGAAUAGAUUAUUAUCAAAGUUUGAUUUGGAAUUAUUCUGUUGUUGAUGAUAUUUAUGAUGAUGUUCUGUUGAUUUACAUUGGCUUCUUGAAUUGAAUUAGAGAAUUGGAUUAUUGUUUUUAUAUAAACAUGUGGACCAGAUGAGUGGUCAGACCAGAUGAGUGGUCAGACCAGAUGAAUGGUCAUGUUAGGCCAAUGAGUGCCUUGGAUCCAGUGAUAGAGCAUGGCGGGGCCUGCUCGGGGUUAGGUAUGACUGAUCAGCAUCCUAACCUUGGUUUUUAAUUAAAAUAUGAUAGUUCCAUUCAAUAAUUUUCUUUUGUAUGAUUGAAUUCCUCAGGCUUCUAUUGCUGCAAAGUGUUGUGAUUCUUUUAUACAAUACCUGAAUUUGUGAACUCAGGUUGAAUCUUUUUAUAUCUUGAACUCGAGAAUUUCUGUUAUAUCACUUCAGAACUUUCAUUGUUACUAUUACUACUUGCUGAGCAUUGUUGCUCACUCUUGCUAUUCUCUUUCUAACCAUCUCAGAAAGGCUUAAAGAUGAGAUGAUUGAUUGAGAUUGUGAAUAAGGCUAAUGCUAGGCGAGGAGACAGAGUUGAGGAUCCAGUGAUCGAGGAGGGUUCAGGGAAGUUGAUAAGGGUUGUGCUAGCUAGAGUUAUGCUAUGAAGAUUCAGAUGUAAGUCAUGGCUGGAGUAGGUUGACAGUGAUUCUUCUUAUCGAAGAUGAUCUGAUUUGGUAAGAAAAGUUGUGUAAUAUUAGUGGUGGAUUCUAAUUUCAAUACUGUAACCUGGAUGCGAUCCUGCUGUUUUAAGGGGGUUAAAGUGUUCUCUUUUAAAUCCUUUAUAAUGGUUUUCAAGUUUUGAAUUUCAAGUUUUAAAUUCUCUGGAUUUCAUUAUCUUUAAU